GCCCCUUCAAGAGCUAAGCCAUUAAGAGUGCCGGAGAUAAGCGCCGGAUGGGGCCGGAACCCUUAAGCCUGUAUUGAACAGACUUAAGGGUUUU
This 94-nucleotide small RNA is filed under the name Salmonella enterica subsp. enterica serovar Typhimurium str. SL1344. RNAcentral's name for it is "RydB". The stretch from base 1 to 61 matches the Rfam family "rydB RNA". Rfam says of the family: This family consists of several bacterial sequences from E. coli, Shigella flexneri and Salmonella species. This RNA gene was discovered by an RNA screen between the ydiC and ydiH in E. coli. RNAcentral also lists the same sequence under 1 other name. Lineage: Bacteria; Pseudomonadati; Pseudomonadota; Gammaproteobacteria; Enterobacterales; Enterobacteriaceae. The record is from RNAcentral.